Molecule: ribosomal RNA, 701 nt
Filed under: Serratia sp. (in: enterobacteria)
Lineage: Bacteria; Pseudomonadati; Pseudomonadota; Gammaproteobacteria; Enterobacterales; Yersiniaceae
Description: bacterial SSU rRNA
Rfam family: Bacterial small subunit ribosomal RNA
Source: RNAcentral
CACGCUGUAAACGAUGUCGACUUGGAGGUUGUGCCCUUGAGGCGUGGCUUCCGGAGCUAACGCGUUAAGUCGACCGCCUGGGGAGUACGGCCGCAAGGUUAAAACUCAAAUGAAUUGACGGGGGCCCGCACAAGCGGUGGAGCAUGUGGUUUAAUUCGAUGCAACGCGAAGAACCUUACCUACUCUUGACAUCCAGAGAAUUCGCUAGAGAUAGCUUAGUGCCUUCGGGAACUCUGAGACAGGUGCUGCAUGGCUGUCGUCAGCUCGUGUUGUGAAAUGUUGGGUUAAGUCCCGCAACGAGCGCAACCCUUAUCCUUUGUUGCCAGCGCGUAAUGGCGGGAACUCAAAGGAGACUGCCGGUGAUAAACCGGAGGAAGGUGGGGAUGACGUCAAGUCAUCAUGGCCCUUACGAGUAGGGCUACACACGUGCUACAAUGGCGUAUACAAAGAGAAGCGAACUCGCGAGAGCAAGCGGACCUCAUAAAGUACGUCGUAGUCCGGAUCGGAGUCUGCAACUCGACUCCGUGAAGUCGGAAUCGCUAGUAAUCGUAGAUCAGAAUGCUACGGUGAAUACGUUCCCGGGCCUUGUACACACCGCCCGUCACACCAUGGGAGUGGGUUGCAAAAGAAGUAGGUAGCUUAACCUUCGGGAGGGCGCUUACCACUUUGUGAUUCAUGACUGGGGUGAAGUCGUAACAAGG